RNAcentral lists this unclassified non-coding RNA (222 nucleotides) under uncultured Septobasidiaceae. Its description in RNAcentral is "sequence contains ITS2". Lineage: Eukaryota; Fungi; Basidiomycota; Pucciniomycetes; Septobasidiales; Septobasidiaceae. The record is from RNAcentral.
AUACCUCAACCUCUACAUUUCUUGUAAAGUGUAGCAGCGUUGGAUGCUGAGCGCUGCUGUGCCUCUUUUGUGCACAGCUCGCUUCAAAUGCAUAAGCAAUCUUUGUACUACUCGGAUUGACUUGACGUGAUAAAAUCUUCGUCGAGGAUGCUUUCAAUAGCAGCCGGAUUGUAUACCAGUCGCUUCUAAACUGAGUCGCCCUCGUGCGAUGCUCCUUUUAAA